Molecule: ribosomal RNA, 253 nt
Filed under: uncultured bacterium
Lineage: Bacteria
Description: partial 16S ribosomal RNA
Rfam family: Bacterial small subunit ribosomal RNA
Source: RNAcentral
UACGUAGGGUGCAAGCGUUAAUCGGAAUUACUCGGCGUAAAGCGUGCGCAGGCGGUUUUGUAAGUCUGACGUGAAAUCCCCGGGCUCAACCUGGGAAUUGCGUUGGAGACUGCAAGGCUAGAAUCUGGCAGAGGGGGGUAGAAUUCCACGUGUAGCAGUGAAAUGCGUAGAGAUGUGGAGGAACACCGAUGGCGAAGGCAGCCCCCUGGGUCAAGAUUGACGCUCAUGCACGAAAGCGUGGGGAGCAAACAGG